AGCAGCCGCGGUAAUUCCAGCUCCAAUAGCGUAUAUUAAAGUUGUUGCAGUUAAAAAGCUCGUAGUUGAAUUUCGGAGUUUAUCGGUUGGUCGGGCUUCACUGUCCGCACUGGCCUGAUGGAUUCCUACCUUCUGAAUAACCAGCAUGCUAUUAAUUUAGUGCGUUGGGGAAGCAGAGCUAUUACCUUGAAAAAAUUAGAGUGCUUAAAGCAGGCUUAUGCUUGAAUAGAUUAGCAUGGAAUAAUAAAAUAGGACGGCUUGGUUCUAUUUUGUUGGUUUCUAGGAUCACCGUAAUGAUUAAUAGGGAUAGUUGGGGGCAUUAGUAUUCAAUUGUCAGAGGUGAAAUUCUUGGAUUUAUUGAAGACUAACUUCUGCGAAAGCAUUUGCCAAGGAUGUUUUCAUUAAUCAAGAACGAAAGUUAGGGGAUCGAAGACGAUCAGAUACCGUCGUAGUCUUAACCAUAAACUAUGCCGACUAGGGAUCGGACGAUGUUAAUUUUUAAUGACUCGUUCGGCGCCCG
RNAcentral lists this ribosomal RNA (520 nucleotides) under uncultured Acaulospora. RNAcentral's name for it is "SSU rRNA". It matches the Rfam family "Eukaryotic small subunit ribosomal RNA", at positions 569 to 1089 of the family's 1831-position model. The record is from RNAcentral. Lineage: Eukaryota; Fungi; Glomeromycota; Glomeromycetes; Diversisporales; Acaulosporaceae.